GGGAUAGCGUUGUUUGAUUGGGUAUUUUGUACCUAAAAAUGAUACAAAACGCUCAAAAUUUCCUCUAACCUGUCUCUGACUGAUUGACUUCUGGCCUGGUGCCACAAAUUUAUGCACACUGCAUUUUAUUUUGAAAAUUGACCGAAUUCUCUAUGGCCAACUAUUAGCUUGAUAUGUCAGGACCCUUGAGUAUGAUGGUAUCACGUCAGGAGCUCAUUUCAGUAAUUUGAAUUGAAAUUAAUGAAUUAUCCGUAGUGAAUUUCAUGGCAAUGUGGACAAGUAAUUGUUACCAAAGUUUUUUUUUUUUUAGAACAGUGAACCAAUAUAUAUGGCAACGAUGUUUACUUUCUGUUUCUUUACUUUUGCUGCCCUGUAAUGUAUACACCACACAAUUGUGUCUUAAUAAUGCAUUAGCAGCUGUCUUCCUGCUCAGCCCUGGAUGAAGUCUAGACACAACUAGACACAGCCUCCGGUGGAGUGUGUUAUACAACCAUCUAGUUUCAAGCACAGCCACAGCCAACUACCACUGCCUAGGGGCUGACUAGAUUGUGUGUGCGCUGGAGAGGGAAUGAGAGAUAGAGAUUGUCAGCAUGAGCGUACAUGCUGGUACAGCACAAGGUAAGGCGAGGUCCCCACCCAGUCUGUGAUGAUGGCAGGGGGCAGGACUCGGUCUGCCAGCGCUGGCUGCCUGCGAAGGUCAUGUAGAAGACACCACUGGAGUAUAAAUCAGGUCAAAGCCUCCAGUUGUGGCCUGCAGGAGAGCAUGUUGUUAGAGGAACGCAGCAGGCAGCAGGAGAUGAGAUUGGCCUCGCUCUCAUGUGUGAAAACAAGCUCAAAUGUAAACCUUCAGCUACUGCACUUAUAUAUUAGGCCAGUAUUGGCCUGAAAAGAUAUCUGCUUUUAACAGUGUCUGCCUAUAGAGGCCAAGAGCAGCUGUGGUUGCUAAUAAUUCUCAUAAUUUUCCCUUCCAAAGAUAUAUUAUAUCAAGGUAAUGAUUAUAUUAUCUUGUUAGUAGUCAAAAAGUAUAGCAGACUGUUUUAUGUUGCCGCAGUUUCACCAUCUUUCACCAUCAACAUGUAUAUUUUUUCUCAGGAGUUGAUGUUGAAUAAACCAGAGCUGUAAGUGGCCACAGGCAGCGUUCAUCAAAAAUGCUACUUACACAACUAGUAGAGCUGGUGUCCCAUGUACCAAGACUGAGUCCUUGCUGCAGCAGCCCAGGGUUUGAGUCUAUCUUCAGCUGUGCUAUCCAAUAAAGGCAAAAAGGACUUGAUACUGACUAGGACACUGAUAUCUGUUAAACCUUAGUCUGAACAUUAGUCUAAUGCCUGACAGUCCAAAAGCUGCCAAAGCUUCACAGGGGUUGUGAGGCUUAAUUGACUUUAAGAGCUGUAAGAAAACACCACUAUAUACACAGUCUGCCAUUUUUAAUUUUUGUAAAGAAAACUAAAUGAAUUUUUAAAGUUUAGAUUAAUUGAGAUCUAAACAUUGAAUACCUGAACACAAGCUAGAUUCUCAGAGCCUUGUCCUGCAUUAGAAAAGUAUGCAGUCAAAACAACCAAAGAGCUAAUAGCUAACAAUGGGCCCAUGUGAGGAGAAAAAAGUACAUACGUUGUAAAACCUGGUGAGUUAUUUCAACUCAUACUGUUUGAGGAAACCGAUUGCUUUAAACAAUAACAAUUUAAGCAUGAAAGAAAUUUGAUUUUGAGUAGAAGUAACUCAAGUGUUUAUUGUGAUGGUAACUUGGGUAAAUUAAGUUAACUGUACCAAUUCCAUUCAGUUAAUUGAAGUUAUACUCAUAUGCAGUAACUAAUUUAAAAUGUUUGAACAGAAUUUUUAGUUGAAUUUACUCAGUUUUCUUCCAUUAAAGCAAAUUAUUACAUUACCUGUCAAAACAGCUGGCAUACGAUGAACACAAUUUAUAAUAAAAGUAUUAUGUCAAAAUGGUUUUUCAUGUGACUAACAUAAAAUCUUUACACUUUGGGAAAUCAUUAAGAAUUAUUUGGUUGCAUACUUGGGCCUAUGAUGAUAAACUAAAAUUCAAAUAAAAAUUCUAAGCUAUAUACAGCAUUACAAUGCUAAAGUCAACUUCAAAAAACGAGUAAAUGGAAUAAACUGGAAUUAUACUGCCAGUUAAAAUGCUGCAAUACUGAGAUGUUACUUCAACAGUUAAUUUUUGAGUUAAUUUGUUGUGGGGGAAUCAUUUAUGUUAAUUUACUUAUUUUAUUAAGAUGUGUUAUUAAAUAUUAACAGGUAUUCUGUUCAAAAUUAAUCCAAGUUUUUACACAAACUUCAUGUAGUUAUUGCGUUCACUGUUCAUUGUACAGUUUAUCAGUUCUGUACUAUUAUUGUUAUAUGCAUUGAAUAUAAUAUGAAAUAUCCAUUAAAUAUGUCAUGUCGUUGUUGUGAGUUAA
This is a long non-coding RNA of Morone saxatilis (striped sea-bass), 2411 nucleotides long. RefSeq lists it as uncharacterized. The record is from RefSeq and is a predicted model, not a curated record. Lineage: Eukaryota; Metazoa; Chordata; Actinopteri; Moronidae. The transcript is spliced from 2 exons.